RNAcentral lists this long non-coding RNA (1715 nucleotides) under Homo sapiens (human). Its description in RNAcentral is "HSALNT0379879". The record is from RNAcentral. Lineage: Eukaryota; Metazoa; Chordata; Mammalia; Primates; Hominidae.
ACACGCCCAGAUGAUGUCACAAUCAGCUGUAUCUAAACAGAGCAGAGCUCAGGUGACAUCACAGAACAGGCAGAGGCAGUUCAGGGGUAUUCUGGUUGCCUUACCCAGCUCUGAAGUCUGUCAGCCUCUUCAGAUGUCACUUGCCAUGUGGUAAGGAAGUGUAGUCAGCAGCUGGUGCAGUGGGAAGAAGAGAAAGGAAGUUCCCCAAGACAAAAACAUCUCGGCAGACUUCAUCAUGAAUUCAUGGCAUCACACAGUCCCCUGAUGCUAUAACAUCAUGGAUUUCUUUUGUCCAGUGAGAGGCCCAAAAGCUGCAGCAUAGACAAUAUCAUAGUGUAGAAGGUUCACUAGACCGUGAUCAUGGGCUACAUUCUCCGUACCAGCUUCAUAGCUCCAGUGAGAAAAUAAAUUCCUGCAUCCAGGAGAUGUGGAGUAAGAGAUACAGCUGCCCUUGACCAUAUUUCUUACUUCCGAGAAGAUCGUAGCAGUAAUUCAGAAUCUCAUCCAGGAUACCUCAUCACAGGCUGGAGUGCAGUGUCAUGAGCUUGGCUCACUACAGCCUCCAUCUUCUGUGCUUAAGGAUCCUUCCCUCUCAACCUCCAAGGUAGCUGAGACUACAGGCAACAUUCGAAACCCAGGUGCCACUCCUUCAGGAAGGUACCAUCAAGCUCCAAGGACUCAUCCUCUUUCUCCUUCCCCACUACCUAGUCAUUAGAGCGUCAGCAUCCACUUCCUGAAAGGAAGAUGCCUGUUUUUCACAUAUCCCAGAAAGCCUCAUUUUAGGACAGCAUUUAGCAGAGUGUAUUCAGGAUCCCACUAACCUUUUCGGAAGACAUGACUUCCAGAUGAUAUAAGGCUCCAUCAGGAACUGUGCAGGACUGUGCACUCUGUUGAUACUCACAUGGUGGAAUUAUAUUGCCCUUGGCCAACCCUAAAGCCAUCAAGAUAGCAGCAACUACUCUAUCAUUACUGUACCACCACCUGUAUGGAUCUCGUUGCCCAUAUGAAACUGAGUAAGGAACAAUGUGCAUCACACUCACAGAGAAAGAUGGACAAGUUUGGAAUAAUUCACUGUCGAAGUCUUCUUGAGCUGAGCAGUCAUGUGAGCUUGGAAGAUGAUCCCUCUCCAGCUGAUCCUUCAGCUCAGGCCAUCAUCUACAUCUGGAUUCCUGACCCGGAGAAACUAUGAGUAAUGUGUGCUGCUUUUGAGCCACUAAGCUACAUGAAUUAAUGAAGGAUCAUUAUUAAGUUUUUAAUGGGUCAAGAGAAAGUUACCACUGAGGUCUUCUCUACCUGGGCAACAAUUGACUCCUAACAACCACUAUAAGCUUGGAAGAUGAUCCCUCCCCAGCUGAUCCUUCAGGUCAGAUUUUUCACAGAGCCAUAGAUAUCUUAUCAUCCUCUGUGGCUUGAAGACUAAUGGCAAUAAAACAUUUCUCAAUAAAGGAGGCUAUACCAUUGUCUGUGUGAUUUCCACUUUCCCUGUUGACACUUAUUCUGCCAGUUUUGAUGUAGGUCAUCUUGCCAGAAGAUGAAAGCAGAUUUCAGGUGAAGUUCAUACAUGUGUAGACAUUAAAAACUGUCAAGGCUACUACCAGGCUAACAGCAAUUGUAAAACUUGAAAACAAAACAUGAUUAAAAUAGGUAAAAUGCAAUAAAUAAUAAAGAUUUGAAAAUAUUUAUUCAGAGAGACAAAUUGAUAGAACUGAAACUUG